UACGUGAGUGUACUGGUUAAAUUGCAGACAUAUUGGCCCAGAACCUUUAAUCGAGCCGGAAAAGAGGCUGCUGUAUGUUUGCUCUCUAUAAUUUUGCGGGGGCGGUCACCCCCAUGCGGAAAGCCACUGCCAUCACAGGGUGGUUAGUUGUGCAGGCCCUUAGCCGCGAGGUGCAAGCAUGUCCGUGGAAAGGCUAGAAAUUAAUAGGGAG
Non-coding RNA from Pelobates cultripes (western spadefoot toad), 211 nucleotides. NCBI's taxonomy places the organism in Eukaryota, Metazoa, Chordata, Amphibia, Anura, Pelobatidae. The record is from the annotation of a GenBank genome assembly.